AAAAUGACUCUCAGCAACGGAUAUCUUGGCUCUUUGCAACGAUGAAGAACGCCAA
Molecule: ribosomal RNA, 55 nt
Filed under: Cololejeunea tenella
Lineage: Eukaryota; Viridiplantae; Streptophyta; Jungermanniopsida; Porellales; Lejeuneaceae
Description: partial 5.8S ribosomal RNA
Source: RNAcentral